This 414-nucleotide ribosomal RNA is filed under the name uncultured microorganism. RNAcentral's name for it is "bacterial SSU rRNA". It matches the Rfam family "Archaeal small subunit ribosomal RNA", at positions 459 to 872 of the family's 1478-position model. The record is from RNAcentral.
CAGCCGCCGCGGUAAUACCGGCGGCCCGAGUGGCGGUCACUAUUAUUGGGCUUAAAGCGUCCGUAGCCGGGUUGGGAAGUCCUCCGGGAAAUCUGGCCGCUUAACGGUCAGAAUGCCGGAGGAUACUCCCAGCCUAGGGAGCGGGAGAGGCCGAGGGUAUUCCCGGAGUAGGGGUGAAAUCCUAUAAUCCCGGGAGGACCACCUGUGGCGAAGGCGCUCGGCUGGAACGCGUCCGACGGUGAGGGACGAAGGCCAGGGGAGCAAACCGGAUUAGAUACCCGGGUAGUCCUGGCUGUAAACGAUGCGGACUUUGUGUCGGACAAGCUAUGAGCUUGUCCGGUGCCGGAGGGAAACCGUUAAGUCCGCCGCCUGGGGAGUACGGCCGCAAGGCUGAAACUUAAAGGAAUUGGCGGG